This 406-nucleotide ribosomal RNA is filed under the name uncultured bacterium. Its description in RNAcentral is "partial 16S ribosomal RNA". It matches the Rfam family "Bacterial small subunit ribosomal RNA", at positions 29 to 526 of the family's 1533-position model. The record is from RNAcentral.
AUUGAACGCUGGCGGCAGGCCUAACACAUGCAAGUCGAACGAGUGGCGGACGGGUGCGUAAUGUCUGGGAAACUGCCUGAUGGAGGGGGAUAACCACUGGAAAAGGUAGCUAAUACCGCAUACCAUCGGAUGUGCCCAGAUGGGAUUAGCUAGUAGGUGGGGUAACGGCUCACCUAGGCGAAGAUCCCUAGCGGGUCGGAGCGGAUGACCCGCCACACUGGAACUUAGACACGGUCCAGGCUCCUACGGGAGGCAGCAGAGGGGAAUAUUGCACAAUGGGCGCAAGCCUGAUGCAGCCAUGCCGCGGGGAUGAAGAGGGCCUUCGGUGUGUAAAGUACUUUCAGCGGGGAGGCGGUACCCGCACAAGAAGCACCGGCUAACUCCGUGCCAGCAGCCGCGGUAAUAC